Molecule: ribosomal RNA, 425 nt
Filed under: uncultured bacterium
Lineage: Bacteria
Description: bacterial SSU rRNA
Rfam family: Bacterial small subunit ribosomal RNA
Source: RNAcentral
GUGGGGAAUAUUGGACAAUGGGCGCAAGCCUGAUCCAGCCAUGCCGCGUGAGUGAUGAAGGCCUUAGGGUUGUAAAGCUCUUUCACCGAUGAAGAUAAUGACGGUAGUCGGAGAAGAAGCCCCGGCUAACUUCGUGCCAGCAGCCGCGGUAAUACGAAGGGGGCUAGCGUUGUUCGGAUUUACUGGGCGUAAAGCGCACGUAGGCGGUUUGUUAAGUCAGGGGUGAAAUCCCGGAGCUCAACUCCGGAACUGCCUUUGAAACUGGCAAGCUAGAGUCCGGAAGAGGUAAGUGGAACUCCUAGUGUAGAGGUGGAAUUCGUAGAUAUUAGGAAGAACACCAGUGGCGAAGGCGGCUUACUGGUCCGGAACUGACGCUGAGGUGCGAAAGCGUGGGGAGCAAACAGGAUUAGAUACCCGUGUAGUCC